UGGCUGUGAUGACAAAAAUGUUCGUUUCUCGAUGCUGAGACUUGAUUUAUUCAAGGACCAUAUUUUGAUGAGCUCUGUGCGUGUCUGAGCCUU
Molecule: small nucleolar RNA, 93 nt
Filed under: Sorghum bicolor (sorghum)
Lineage: Eukaryota; Viridiplantae; Streptophyta; Magnoliopsida; Poales; Poaceae
Description: snoRNA snoR126
Rfam family: small nucleolar RNA snoR126
Source: Rfam by way of RNAcentral